RNAcentral lists this unclassified non-coding RNA (422 nucleotides) under uncultured Lepista. Its description in RNAcentral is "sequence contains ITS2". The stretch from base 1 to 154 matches the Rfam family "5.8S ribosomal RNA". The record is from RNAcentral. Lineage: Eukaryota; Fungi; Basidiomycota; Agaricomycetes; Agaricales; Tricholomataceae.
AACUUUCGGCAAUGGAUCACUUGGCUCUCGCAUCGAUGAAGAACGCAGCGAAAUGCGAUAAGUAAUGUGAAUCGCAGAAUUCAGUGAAUCAUCGAAUCCUUGAACGCACCUUGCGCUCCUUGGUAUUCCGAGGAGCCUGCCUGUUUGAGUGUCAUUAAAUUCUCAACCUCUUCCAUUUUUAUUUAUGGUUUAGGCUUGGAUGUGGGGGUUGCGGGCUUCUCAGAAGUCGGCUCUCCUUAGAUGCAUUAGCGGAACCUUUGUGGACCGUCUUUGGUGUGAUAAUUAUCUACGCCAUGGUCGUGAAGCAGUUUUACAUGGGGUUCAGCUUAUAACCGUCUAUUUACUUGGACAACUUUUGACAUUUUGACCGCAAAUCAGGUAGGACUACCCGCUGAACUUAAGCAUAUCAAUAAGCGGAGGCU